ACGGGGGGGGCAAGCGUUGUUCGGAAUUAUUGGGCGUAAAGGGUCUGUAGGUGGCCAACUAAGUCAGACGUGAAAUCCCUCAGCUUAACUGGGGAACUGCGUCUGAUACUGGUUGGCUUGAGUGCCGGAGAGGGUGGCGGAAUUCCCCAAGUAGAGGUGAAAUUCGUAGAUAUGGGGAGGAACACCGGUGGCGAAGGCGGCCACCUGGACGGCAACUGACGCUGAGACGCGAAAGCGUGGGGAGCAAACAGGA
Molecule: ribosomal RNA, 253 nt
Filed under: uncultured prokaryote
Description: partial 16S ribosomal RNA
Rfam family: Bacterial small subunit ribosomal RNA
Source: RNAcentral